Molecule: ribosomal RNA, 265 nt
Filed under: uncultured bacterium
Lineage: Bacteria
Description: partial 16S ribosomal RNA
Rfam family: Bacterial small subunit ribosomal RNA
Source: RNAcentral
UACGGAGGGUGCAAGCGUUGUUCGGAAUUAUUGGGCGUAAAGCGCGUGCAGGCGGUUGUGUAAGACAGGUGUGAAAUCCCCGGGCUUAACCUGGGAACUGCGCUUGUGACUGCACGGCUAGAGUACGGCAGAGGGGGGUGGAAUUCCACGUGUAGCAGUGAAAUGCGUAGAUAUGUGGAGGAACACCGAUGGCGAAGGCAGCCCCCUGGGCCGAUACUGACGCUCAUGCACGAAAGCGUGGGGAGCAAACAGGAUUAGAAACCCC